This 74-nucleotide transfer RNA is filed under the name Candidatus Woesearchaeota archaeon. Its description in RNAcentral is "tRNA-Phe". It matches the Rfam family "tRNA". From Rfam's summary of the family: Transfer RNA (tRNA) molecules are approximately 80 nucleotides in length. Their secondary structure includes four short double-helical elements and three loops (D, anti-codon, and T loops). Further hydrogen bonds mediate the characteristic L-shaped molecular structure. tRNAs have two regions of fundamental functional importance: the anti-codon, which is responsible for specific mRNA codon recognition, and the 3' end, to which the tRNAs corresponding amino acid is attached (by aminoacyl-tRNA synthetases). tRNAs cope with the degeneracy of the genetic code in two manners: having more than one tRNA (with a specific anti-codon) for a particular amino acid; and 'wobble' base-pairing, i.e. permitting non-standard base-pairing at the 3rd anti-codon position. The record is from RNAcentral. Lineage: Archaea; Nanobdellati; Candidatus Woesearchaeota.
GGGAACGUAGCUCAACCUGGGAGAGCACUACGCUGAAGACGUAGUUGUCGUGGGUUCAAAUCCCACCGUUCCCA